This 482-nucleotide ribosomal RNA is filed under the name uncultured bacterium. RNAcentral describes it as "partial 16S ribosomal RNA". It matches the Rfam family "Bacterial small subunit ribosomal RNA", at positions 30 to 507 of the family's 1533-position model. The record is from RNAcentral.
AUUGAACGCUGGCGGCAUGCCUUACACAUGCAAGUCUAACGGUAACAGGUCUUCGGAUGCUGACGAGUGGCGAACGGGUGAGUAAUACAUCGGAACGUGCCCGAUCGUGGGGGAUAACGAGGCGAAAGCUUUGCUAAUACCGCAUACGAUCUACGGAUGAAAGCGGGGGAUCUUCGGACCUCGCGCGGACGGAGCGGCCGAUGGCAGAUUAGGUAGUUGGUGGGAUAAAAGCUUACCAAGCCGACGAUCUGUAGCUGGUCUGAGAGGAUGAUCAGCCACACUGGGACUGAGACACGGCCCAGACUCCUACGGGAGGCAGCAGUGGGGAAUUUUGGACAAUGGGCGAAAGCCUGAUCCAGCCAUGCCGCGUGCAGGAUGAAGGCCUUCGGGUUGUAAACUGCUUUUGUACGGAACGAAAAGCCUCUUUCUAAUAAAGAGGGGUCAUGACGGUACCGUAAGAAUAAGCACCGGCUAACUACGUG